CUAGCUCUGGGUUCGAGU
Molecule: small nuclear RNA, 18 nt
Filed under: Arabidopsis thaliana (thale cress)
Lineage: Eukaryota; Viridiplantae; Streptophyta; Magnoliopsida; Brassicales; Brassicaceae
Description: snRNA_16435
Source: RNAcentral